Non-coding RNA from Equus caballus (horse), 1980 nucleotides. The record is from RefSeq and is a predicted model, not a curated record. NCBI's taxonomy places the organism in Eukaryota, Metazoa, Chordata, Mammalia, Perissodactyla, Equidae.
ACCCAGGAUCCGAACCUGUGAACCCCGGGCUGCCAUGAAGUGGAACGUGCGAACUUAACCACUGCACCACCAGGCCAGCCCCUAAACUUAAAGCUUUGAUCUCAGUUAAAAAUCAAGAAGGAAUAACAUAUUCUUUUUAUUUUGUGAUACACAGCUUUCAUAUGAUUGGAUGACAUGUAAAGCAUUAAGUUGUGUCAAUUGUAAUAAUUUGAGACAUCAGCAAGAUUUUUCAUGCCUCUCUCCUGGAGAUUAUCUCUGGAUCAGAUGCUAGAUCUUGACUUCUGUUAUCCUGGAGUGAGUCAAAAGAAAUUUGAAAUGGAGAGGAGACCAAAAUAACAGGUUUUUCUGUCUGCUGCUUCCUCCCUCCCACCACAAACACACACACACACACACACACACACACACACACACCCCCCAGGACUCUGAGCUGGGGAGAGAGUUACACACACACACACACACACAUACCCCCCAAGCUGUGAGCUGGGGAGAGAGUUACACACACACACACAAACCCCAGGCUGUGAGCUGGAGAGAGAGUUACACACACACACACACACACAUACACACACCCCAGGCUGUGAGCUGGGGAGAGAGCUAGCUUGGGGGAGAGAGAGCAGAGUGCAAAGCAGGGAGUGUCCCUGAACUUAUCCUGUGCCCCACAGUUACCUCAUCGUUUUAGGGAACUGAGAGAAGAGUGGGCUUGAGGCUGGCACCCCAGUAUGAGACUUUUGGAGUGUGGCAGCCAUGUGAAAGCUCUCCUUCCCCCAGGCAUAGAGUAGUCGAAAUAGCACAUGGCCUUUCUAGAUGCUAAAGAGCUUGCAAAAACCCUUGAUUCUUCCGUCUCUCAUGAGGUCGAGAAAUGAUCCACAGUUUUCCAUGGCCCCCAAGUGAGACCCAGACAGUAAUUAGGAGAGAGGGCCAAGGUGCUACUGGGAGGUUGCCUGGCAGAGGAAAUGGGCACACCCAUUCAAGGAUAGGGCACAAACCACGCCAGGGAUCAGGAUUUAGCCGCAUAUCGGAGGAAUUGCCAUGCCAGCCAGCUGCACAGGGGCAAGACAGAGUGACUGCAGGCCCAAGUUAGCACCCUCUGAAAGAGGCAUCUUCCCUGCCCAGGAACACACAGGAUAAGCAAUGGGACCAGGUCAGAGAGAUGGGCAACCUGCCCCAGCCUGCCUCAGGCCUGACUGGGGCUUUGUGCAUCCUAGGGCCUUCAAUUCAGCCCAGAGACUAGGGGCAGAAACAUGCAACGGAGCUCUGAAAUGGACUGUGACUGGCUUAGACCUGAAGUGACAAAGACCCAGUCAGUGUGCCCAGGUGGGGCCUGGAGAAGGAGGACGGGGAAGGAACGGGCCAGCCUGCACCUUUAUCAUUUUCCUUGAUCCUGUGCCCCAGCUGAGGAACUCCCCAGCCUGUGCCGAGAAUACGUUCCUCGAGGACCACUUUUCAAACAGCCCUGUAGAGGGCGCGGUUUCCUCGUCCCAGAGGCUUCCAGGGUUCAGGCAGGCUCUGAAGGCUUUUCCAUCCGUCUGAUAAUCUCUUCGAAGCACUGAGGAAGCACCGUGGGGAGUAUCAAGAAGCACAGGAGGGCCUCCUCGGACUGUGAGAAACUCCGGGCAUAGUUCUAGGGAAGAAGACAAAGACAUGGACCUGUUGCAGUGGUUCCAAGACAUAUUCAAGUUCACGGCCAAGGCAGCCUGCAGAUUCUGGAUGCUUAGGAAUUCAGAAGAGGUCUGGACUGGUCCCAACAGUCUCUAAGGAAGGUGUCAAAGAGGUGAUGGCAUUGGGAGCAGACCUUAAUGGAUGAGAUGAUUUGGGGACUAACGCCAAGACAAGCAGAUGCAGAAGAUGGCAAGGUCUUGUUAAAGCCUCUUGUUUUUAAAUUAAAAUUAAAAUUCAACAUAUUUGAAUUGUUUACUUUUAAAUGGCUAAUUUUUAUUAUGUGACUUUUGCCUCAAUUAAAAACUACAUGAGAUAGCUAUA